Molecule: ribosomal RNA, 251 nt
Filed under: uncultured bacterium
Lineage: Bacteria
Description: partial 16S ribosomal RNA
Rfam family: Bacterial small subunit ribosomal RNA
Source: RNAcentral
ACGUAGGUGGCAAGCGUUGUCCGGAUUUACUGGGUGUAAAGGGCGUGUAGCCGGGUCGGCAAGUCAGAUGUGAAAUCCACGGGCUUAACUCGUGAACUGCAUUUGAAACUGUUGAUCUUGAGUAUCGGAGAGGCAAUCGGAAUUCCUAGUGUAGCGGUGAAAUGCGUAGAUAUUAGGAGGAACACCAGUGGCGAAGGCGGAUUGCUGGACGACAACUGACGGUGAGGCGCGAAAGCGUGGGGAGCAAACAG